UGGCCACCCAAACAGGAUCUCUGGCUCGAAAGAUCUCAUAAAAACAUAGACCUCGUUAAACACAGGUUCCGAAACCUGUCUGUGGCCCGAAGCAGGUAAUUUGGUUGAGCUCACCUUGCUGGAUUGUGAAAUAGCCCAGUUUUUCCUCUAUUUUUUCCCCCUCAGGUUAUUUACCCAACAGGGGGAUGGUGUGAAUCCCAGCUCCAAGGCAGGAAUGAAAGAAGCAGAGGGCAGAAAACAUAUUGAAAUUAGAUGUUAAUACGAGAAUUUAUGAAGACCUCUGAGCUACCUGGACACCCUCCACGAGGGAGGUGAAGGCUGGGUGUUCCAGCCUGAAUGUGAGGCUGGCUCCUUCCAACGCAGGCGUCCAGAUCCACCUUUACUGUUUGAUAAGCCGCAUCUGUCAGGCAACCGACACUUGUGUGAAAAUUGUUAGUCACUCAGUUGUGUCCAGCUCUCUGCGACCCCAUGGACUGUAGCCCACCAGGCUCCUCUGUCCAUCGGAUUUCCCAGGCAAGAACACUGCAGUGGGUAGGGAAACAACGAUGAUGAAUUGAUGGGGAGCCCUGCGUGUCCUGACUUGCUCAUGUCGGCAGUCACAACCCUCCUAAGCAUGGACGUUGCAACCUCCCCCACCACCCCCAUCUUUCAGAGGAGGAG
Bos grunniens (domestic yak) is the source of this 660-nucleotide long non-coding RNA. NCBI's taxonomy places the organism in Eukaryota, Metazoa, Chordata, Mammalia, Artiodactyla, Bovidae. The record is from Ensembl.